Molecule: ribosomal RNA, 268 nt
Filed under: uncultured bacterium
Lineage: Bacteria
Description: partial small subunit ribosomal RNA
Rfam family: Bacterial small subunit ribosomal RNA
Source: RNAcentral
AGAAUGAACGCUGGCGGCGUGCUUAACACAUGCAAGUCGAGCGAGGCCAGGGGGGCAACUCCCUGAGUCGAGCGGCGGACGGGUGAGUAACACGUGGGUAACCUACCCGGAAGUGGGGAAUACCUCGGGGAAACUCGAGCUAAUACCGCAUAACAUCUUCGGGACGAAAGUCCUGACGAUCAAAGCGGGUCGCAAGAUCUCGCGCUACCGGAUGGGCCCGCGCCCGAUUAGCUAGUUGGUGAGGUAAUGGCUCACCAAGGCGACGAUC